Molecule: ribosomal RNA, 500 nt
Filed under: uncultured bacterium
Lineage: Bacteria
Description: partial 16S ribosomal RNA
Rfam family: Bacterial small subunit ribosomal RNA
Source: RNAcentral
AUUGAACGCUGGCGACAGGCCUAACACAUGCAAGUCGAGCGGAUGACGGGAGCUUGCUCCUUGAUUCAGCGGCGGACGGGUGAGUAAUGCCUAGGAAUCUGCCUGGUAGUGGGGGACAACGUUUCGAAAGGAACGCUAAUACCGCACACGUCCUACGGGCGAAAGCAGGGGACCUUCGGGCCUUGCGCUAUCAGAUGAGCCUAGGUCGGAUUAGCUAGUUGGCGGGGGAAUGGCUCACCAAGGCGACGACCCGUAACUGGUCUGAGAGGAUGAUCAGUCACACUGGAACUGAGACACGGUCCAGACUCCUACGGGAGGCAGCAGUGGGGAAUAUUGGACAAUGGGCGAAAGCCUGAUCCAGCCAUGCCGCGUGUGUGAAGAAGGUCUUCGGAUUGUAAAGCACUUUAAGUUGGGAGGAAGGGCAGUAAGUUAAUACCUUGCUGUUUUGACGUUACCGACAGAAUAAGCACCGGCUAACUCUGUGCCAGCAGCCGCAGUAA